RNAcentral lists this ribosomal RNA (465 nucleotides) under Vreelandella stevensii. Its description in RNAcentral is "partial 16S ribosomal RNA". It matches the Rfam family "Bacterial small subunit ribosomal RNA", at positions 338 to 795 of the family's 1533-position model. Lineage: Bacteria; Pseudomonadati; Pseudomonadota; Gammaproteobacteria; Oceanospirillales; Halomonadaceae. The record is from RNAcentral.
CCUACGGGGGGCUGCAGUGGGGAAUAUUGGACAAUGGGGGGAACCCUGAUCCAGCCAUGCCGCGUGUGUGAAGAAGGCCCUCGGGUUGUAAAGCACUUUCAGUGAGGAAGAACGCCUGGUGGUUAAUACCCAUCAGGAAAGACAUCACUCACAGAAGAAGCACCGGCUAACUCCGUGCCAGCAGCCGCGGUAAUACGGAGGGUGCUAGCGUUAAUCGGAAUUACUGGGCGUAAAGCGCGCGUAGGUGGCUUGAUAAGCCGGUUGUGAAAGCCCCGGGCUCAACCUGGGAACGGCAUCCGGAACUGUCAAGCUAGAGUGCAGGAGAGGAAGGUAGAAUUCCCGGUGUAGCGGUGAAAUGCGUAGAGAUCGGGAGGAAUACCAGUGGCGAAGGCGGCCUUCUGGACUGAAACUGACACUGAGGUGCGAAAGCGUGGGUAGCAAACAGGAUUAGAUACCCUAGUAGUC